This 332-nucleotide long non-coding RNA is filed under the name Malus domestica (apple). RNAcentral's name for it is "long non-coding RNA (MDOM_LNC008107)". The record is from RNAcentral. Lineage: Eukaryota; Viridiplantae; Streptophyta; Magnoliopsida; Rosales; Rosaceae.
UGGACCGAGUGGUCACGUCUGUCUGUCACUUUGGGGGAAUGGGAAGAGAGAGACUCACUUAAAUCUUCUUCUUCCUUCUGUCUGGAAUUCGAUACUUUGAAACGCAGAAGGCAGAACCAGAGCAAGAACGCAGCUCUGCAACGACAAAACUCUAAAACGCCCAGACCGUUUAGGCCAUCGAGUCGCCCGCCUAGGCCGCCCAAGCACCGCCUAGGCUGCCUCCGCGCCCGCCUAAUCCUCUUGCCGAUUUUUCUCCCGAUUAUGGGCUAAUCGGAGCGGCUAGCCACCGUGUAGCGCCUAGGCGGCCGCCUAGGCCGAUUUUUAGAACACUG